CAGCAGCCACGGUAAUACAGAGGGUGCGAGCGUUAAUCGGAUUUACUGGGCGUAAAGCGUGCGUAGGCGGCUUCUUAAGUCGGAUGUGAAAUCCCUGAGCUUAACUUAGGAAUUGCAUUCGAUACUGGGAAGCUAGAGUAUGGGAGAGGAUGGUAGAAUUCCAGGUGUAGCGGUGAAAUGCGUAGAGAUCUGGAGGAAUACCGAUGGCGAAGGCAGCCAUCUGGCCUAAUACUGACGCUGAGGUACGAAAGCAUGGGGAGCAAACAGGAUUAGAUACCCCCGUAGUCCCUGUCUCUUAUAC
RNAcentral lists this ribosomal RNA (301 nucleotides) under uncultured bacterium. RNAcentral's name for it is "partial 16S ribosomal RNA". It matches the Rfam family "Bacterial small subunit ribosomal RNA", at positions 509 to 807 of the family's 1533-position model. The record is from RNAcentral.